CGGCACCUAAUUGAAAUGCCCGCC
This 24-nucleotide microRNA is filed under the name Drosophila melanogaster (fruit fly). RNAcentral's name for it is "dme-miR-2495-3p". Lineage: Eukaryota; Metazoa; Arthropoda; Insecta; Diptera; Drosophilidae. The record is from miRBase by way of RNAcentral.